This 458-nucleotide ribosomal RNA is filed under the name uncultured bacterium. RNAcentral describes it as "bacterial SSU rRNA". It matches the Rfam family "Bacterial small subunit ribosomal RNA", at positions 340 to 786 of the family's 1533-position model. The record is from RNAcentral.
UACGGAAGGGCAGCAGGGGGAAUAUUGCACAAUGGGCGAAAGCCUGAUGCAGCUAUGCCGCGUGUAUGAAGAAGGCCUUAGGGUUGUAAAGUACUUUCAUCGGGGAGGAAAAAACAAAACUAAUAAUUUUAUUUCUUGACGUUACCCGAAAAAGAAGCACCGGCUAACUCCGUGCCAGCAGCCGCGGUAAUACGGAGGGUGCUAGCGUUAAUCAGAAUUACUGGGCGUAAAGAGCACGUAGGUGGUUUUUUUAAAGUCAGAUGUGAAAUCCCUGGGCUUAACCUAGGAACUGCAUUUUGAAACUGAAAUACUAGAGUAUCGUAGAGGGAGGUAGAAUUCUAGGUGUAGCGGUGAAAUGCGUAGAUAUCUGGAGGAAUACCUGUGGCGAAAGCGGCCUCCUAAACGAAUACUGACACUGAGGGUGCGAAAGCGUGGGGAGCAAACAGGGAUUAGAUACC